CAGCGCAUUGGUUGCUGUAAGCCAAGGGCGGUAGCAUA
RNAcentral lists this non-coding RNA (38 nucleotides) under Yersinia intermedia ATCC 29909. Its description in RNAcentral is "JUMPstart RNA". It matches the Rfam family "JUMPstart RNA". Lineage: Bacteria; Pseudomonadati; Pseudomonadota; Gammaproteobacteria; Enterobacterales; Yersiniaceae. The record is from RNAcentral.